AAUUUUGGACAAUGGGGGAAACCCUGAUCCAGCCAUCCCGCGUGUAUGAUGAAGGCCCUCGGGUUGUAAAGUACUUUUGGCCGGGAAGAAAAGGUAUCCCCUAAUACCGGAUACUGCUGACGGUAUCUGCAGAAUAAGCACCGCCCAACUACGCGCCAGCAGCCGCGGUAAUACGUAGGGGCCAAGCGUUAAUCGGAAUGACUGGGCGUGAAGCGUGUGUGGGCGGUUCGGAAAGAAAGAUGUGAAAUCCCAGGGCUCAACCUUGGAACUGCAUUUUUAACUGCCGAGCUAGAGUAUGUCAGAGGGAGGUAGAAUUCCACGUGUAGCAGUGAAAUGCGUAGAUAUGUGGAGGAAUACCGAUGGCGAAGGCAGCCCCCUGGGAUAAUACUGACGCUCAGACACGAAAGCGUGGGGAGCAAACAGG
RNAcentral lists this ribosomal RNA (424 nucleotides) under uncultured bacterium. Its description in RNAcentral is "partial 16S ribosomal RNA". It matches the Rfam family "Bacterial small subunit ribosomal RNA", at positions 360 to 776 of the family's 1533-position model. The record is from RNAcentral.